UGAAUCAUGAAUGGAAGUGCUUGGCUUACAGUGUCACAGAUCGUUCUUUAAACUAUUUGAAGAUCUACUUUAUCUUUACUAACGACUCUAAUCUAUAUCUAGUUUAUAUCUAUAUUUUAUAUGAUAAUAAUAGACCUAGACUCUUAUACUUUUAAUAAAGUUAUAAGAUCUAGAAUCUGUAUCUAGAUCUAUUCCCAUUUAUACACUGAUAAUACACUACAGAUUUAAUGUUUCUAAAGUACACAAAGGAUGUUGAAAGGUACCCAAAGGGCUCUAAUUGCUACCAUUCAAUGUGUGGAAUCAAGUAUUUACCCAGAUACUGCCACAAUAUGUUCUUAUUAUUUUCAAAGGAGUUUUCACACAGUGCCAUAACUUCUGGCAGAAGCUGUAUAAAUACAUUUAACAAUGUAUAUUUCAAGAAGAAAUGAUGCUUUCUUAUUUCUAAGAGUUUAUCAAUAGGAUGAAUGCCACAAAACUCACUUGUUAUGCCAGAAACUCUUCCUACGAAACUUCCAUACUAGAAUUUGUCCAGUGCCUGUGAUCCUCUGAGUUGAAGGAGAAUGUGCUCCAUAAUACCUACUAGGAGCUUGCUGAUAGCUGGAAGUUCAUGAAUACUAUGUUGUCCUUGAUUUGAUGAUUCUGAAAACUACCAUUUCUGAAGACUUGAGCAUUAUUUCUAUAAUUUAAAAAAAUCUUUUCAGGAAAUAUUGUGUUUAUAAUAUUAAGAAAGUGAAGAUAAUAUUGUUCUUACUAUUGACUUA
Long non-coding RNA from Biomphalaria glabrata, 761 nucleotides. RefSeq lists it as uncharacterized. The record is from RefSeq and is a predicted model, not a curated record. The transcript has 3 exons. Lineage: Eukaryota; Metazoa; Mollusca; Gastropoda; Planorbidae.